UGGGUCUAAUUGGUAUUUAUUGUUGCCCUUGUUUUGGAUUGCAGACCUUUGAUAAACCUUCCCCAGUGCAGAAAACCCAUGGUUAACUCCACAGCAGUAGGGAAGCUAUGGAAGCAGAACUGCAAUUAACCUUCGUGGGCAAAACAAAACGUAAAAAACUACAAGGAAGGGUCAUUUUUGGCAGAUGCAAUUCUUCAUGACAACUGGCAGAGAGUUUACACCAGUUUAUCCCACCAGCUGAGUGUGAGAGACCCUUCUCACGACACUCUUGGUAGCACUAUUGACUUAAGAAAAGGACAAUUGGACAACACAGUCAAGGCCUUCUCUCCAUUUUAGUCGUUCGUGUCAUUUUAAAGCCAGAGUAAAUGGAGUGUCUUUGUACUGUAUCAUGAAAACGAGGUUUCUCUGCCUUAUGAGUAAGUGCGAAUUCAUGUUUCACACUUUUUGUACAAGUUCUUGGAGGCUUGGAAGUCCAAAAUCAAGGCCCCUGCAGAUCUGGUAUCUGGUGAGAGCCCGCUUCCUGGUUCAUAGAUGGUCAUCUUCUUGCUAUGUCCUCACAUAGUAGAAGGGAACAAGAAAGAUUUCAGAGGCCUCUUUUAUAAGGACACUAAUUCAUGAGGCCUCUGCCCUCAUGACCUAAUCACUUCCUGAAGAUCCUGCCUCCAAAUACCAUCACGUUGGGGAUUAGGCUUCAACAUACAGUUUUGGUAGGACACAAACAUUCAGUCUAUAGCAAUAAAGAAGUGAAGAAUAAGCUUCUGUUCACUGAUUUAUAUUUUCCUCCAGAUUGGGUUCUUUAACUUUGAAUAGUUUCAUGUUUUCUUUGUACUGAGGAGAAGUAGAAAAGGUUGCUGGAGGGAAACUGAAGAAUAAACAAAAGGACUGAUUUUCUCUGAUUGGAAUAUACUUAAUUUAAAAAAUGGUGUGAUAUCCAAGACUAUCCCCCAUGGGAAUAAAAAACAUCGAUUGGAAGAAGAGUCAGUGACAUUGCUUAUUUUCCAACAACCUUUUCCACUUCUCAUCAGUAAAAGGAAGAAAAAAAUAAGGAAACUCACUUUUUUUUAAAAAAUAAAUUUAUUUGUUUUAUUUAUUUAUGUUUGGCUGCGUUGGGUCUUCAUUGCUACGCGUGGGCUUUUCUCUAGUUGCAGAGCGCAGGCUUUUCAUUGCGGUGUGCAGGCUUCUUAUUGCCGUGGCUGCUUCUGUUGCAGAGCACAGUCUCUAGGUGUGCAGGCUUCAGUAGUUGUGGCUCGCGGGCUCUAGAGUGCAGGCUCAGUAGUUGUGGUGCAUGGGCUUAGUUGCUCCGCGGUGUGUGGGAUCUUCCUGGACCAGGGCUCGAAUCCAUGUCCCCUGCAUUCGCAGGUGGAUUCUCAACCACUGUGCCACCAGACAAGCCCCUCACUUGGUUUUUUAAAGUCCAUAUUUAGGAGUAUUAAUAAAGAAUCUCAGAAUUUGUUGACUCAUAACAAAGGUCUUGAGGAUUAGAGUUUGAUGUGUGUUUUAUAUCUCUCCUGUAUUCUAGAAUCUUCU
Orcinus orca (killer whale) is the source of this 1527-nucleotide long non-coding RNA. RefSeq lists it as uncharacterized. Lineage: Eukaryota; Metazoa; Chordata; Mammalia; Artiodactyla; Delphinidae. The transcript has 5 exons. The record is from RefSeq and is a predicted model, not a curated record.